This 490-nucleotide ribosomal RNA is filed under the name uncultured bacterium. Its description in RNAcentral is "partial 16S ribosomal RNA". It matches the Rfam family "Bacterial small subunit ribosomal RNA", at positions 29 to 505 of the family's 1533-position model. The record is from RNAcentral.
AGUGAACGCUGGCGGUAGGCCUAACACAUGCAAGUCGAACGGCAGCACAGUAAGAGCUUGCUCUUACGGGUGGCGAGUGGCGGACGGGUGAGGAAUACAUCGGAACCUACUUUUUCGUGGGGGAUAACGUAGGGAAACUUACGCUAAUACCGCAUACGACCUACGGGUGAAAGCAGGGGAUCUUCGGACCUUGCGCGAUUGAAUGAGCCGAUGUCGGAUUAGCUAGUUGGCGGGGUAAAGGCCCACCAAGGCGACGAUCCGUAGCUGGUCUGAGAGGAUGAUCAGCCACACUGGAACUGAGACACGGUCCAGACUCCUACGGGAGGCAGCAGUGGGGAAUAUUGGACAAUGGGCGCAAGCCUGAUCCAGCCAUACCGCGUGGGUGAAGAAGGCCUUCGGGUUGUAAAGCCCUUUUGUUGGGAAAGAAAAGCAGCAGGUUAAUACCCCGCUGUUCUGACGGUACCCAAAGAAUAAGCACCGGCUAACUUCG